Molecule: non-coding RNA, 24 nt
Filed under: Arabidopsis thaliana (thale cress)
Lineage: Eukaryota; Viridiplantae; Streptophyta; Magnoliopsida; Brassicales; Brassicaceae
Source: RNAcentral
GCUAACUCUCUCCCACAACUUGAC